CCUACGGGGCGCACCAGUGGGGAAUAUUGGACAAUGGGCGAAAGCCUGAUCCAGCAAUGCCGCGUGUGUGAAGAAGGUCUUCGGAUCGUAAAGCACUUUCGACGGGGACGAUGAUGACGGUACCCGUAGAAGAAGCCCCGGCUAACUUCGUGCCAGCAGCCGCGGUAAUACGAAGGGGGCUAGCGUUGCUCGGAAUGACUGGGCGUAAAGGGCGCGUAGGCGGUUUAUGCAGUCAGAUGUGAAAUCCCCGGGCUUAACCUGGGAACUGCAUUUGAGACGCAUAGACUAGAGGUCGAGAGAGGGUUGUGGAAUUCCCAGUGUAGAGGUGAUAUUCGUAGAUAUUGGGAAGAACACCGGUGGCGAAGGCGGCAACCUGGUUCGAUACUGACGCUGAGGCGUGAAAGCGUGGGGAGCAAACAGGAUUAGAUACCCGGGUAGUC
This 440-nucleotide ribosomal RNA is filed under the name uncultured bacterium. RNAcentral's name for it is "bacterial SSU rRNA". It matches the Rfam family "Bacterial small subunit ribosomal RNA", at positions 338 to 795 of the family's 1533-position model. The record is from RNAcentral.